GAUGAACGCUGGCGGCGUGCCUAAUACAUGCAAGUCGAGCGAACAGACGAGGAGCUUGCUUCUCUGACGUUAGCGGCGGACGGGUGAGUAACACGUGGAUAACCUACCUAUAAGACUGGGAUAACUUCGGGAAACCGGAGCUAAUACCGGAUAAUAUAUUGAACCGCAUGGUUCAAUAGUGAAAGACGGUUUUGCUGUCACUUAUAGAUGGAUCCGCGCCGCAUUAGCUAGUUGGUAAGGUAACGGCUUACCAAGGCAACGAUGCGUAGCCGACCUGAGAGGGUGAUCGGCCACACUGGAACUGAGACACGGUCCAGACUCCUACGGGAGGCAGCAGUAGGGAAUCUUCCGCAAUGGGCGAAAGCCUGACGGAGCAACGCCGCGUGAGUGAUGAAGGUCUUCGGAUCGUAAAACUCUGUUAUUAGGGAAGAACAAAUGUGUAAGUAACUAUGCACGUCUUGACGGUACCUAAUCGGAAAGCCACGGCUAACUACGUG
This 497-nucleotide ribosomal RNA is filed under the name uncultured bacterium. Its description in RNAcentral is "partial 16S ribosomal RNA". It matches the Rfam family "Bacterial small subunit ribosomal RNA", at positions 28 to 507 of the family's 1533-position model. The record is from RNAcentral.